Passer domesticus (house sparrow) is the source of this 506-nucleotide long non-coding RNA. RefSeq lists it as uncharacterized. Lineage: Eukaryota; Metazoa; Chordata; Aves; Passeriformes; Passeridae. The transcript has 4 exons. The record is from RefSeq and is a predicted model, not a curated record.
UACAACAGCCUGAGCUGAACCAAUGAUGGGUGUUUUCUCCCGAUGUUCAUCCGGGAGCACAGGAUAAAUGUGUCAGCCCACGCAUUACCUUCAGGAGACUCAGACUUAACAGGAAAAGUUUGAAAAGUUGCAAUGAAGACUGACCUAAACAAAGACAUGCCUAUACCACUUCUAUGUACAGAUGUAGACAGAAAAGCCUUCAAUGAGGACCUCAAAGCAUGUACGGCAAGACUGAUUUUCUAUUGGUACUGCCACAAACCAUACUGGAAACAACCAUGAGUAAUGACAGCUCUCCUACAGAGAGCUCCUGCAAUAACCACCCUGGUAUCAAGCGAUUAAGAAUGAAUGAACAAUCAUAUUAUUGUUAGUACAACUUUGCUCCUCACAUUUCCUAUUCUGUUGAAAAUUAGAGAUUACAGACAUGAACUAAUUUUUGAAUCUAAUAUUGAGUAACAGUGGCUGUAUGUAGAAGGAUUUAUUUUACAUACUUUGAAAAAUCAUAUUCU